RNAcentral lists this ribosomal RNA (494 nucleotides) under uncultured bacterium. RNAcentral's name for it is "partial 16S ribosomal RNA". It matches the Rfam family "Bacterial small subunit ribosomal RNA", at positions 28 to 507 of the family's 1533-position model. The record is from RNAcentral.
GACGAACGCUGGCGGCGCGCUUAACACAUGCAAGUCGAACGGAAAGGCCUGCUUUCCCUUGUGGAUUGCGGGUACUCGAGUGGCGAAUGGGUGAGUAACACGUGAGUGAUCUGCCCCCAACUUGGGUAUAAGCCUGGGAAACUGGGUCUAAUUCCCGAUAGGACUGCAGGGUGGUGCCUGCGGUGGAAAACGAUUUUCUAGUGGUUGGGGAUGAGCUCGCGGCCUAUCAGCUUGGUGGUGGGGUAAUGGCCUACCAAGGCGGCGACGGGUAGCCGGCCUGGGAGCGUGGACAGCCGCAUUGGGACUGGGACACGGCCCCGACGCGUGCGGGCGGCAGCAGUGGGGGGUCUUGCGCCGUGGGCGGGAGCCUGAUGCGGCGACGCCGCGUGGGGGAUGACGGCCUUCGGGUUGUAAACUCCUUUCGACCGCGAGGAAGCCACCUGGUUGGAAGGGUGGUGACGGUAGUGGUAGAAGAAGCACCGGCUAACUACGUG